GAUGAACGCUGGCGGCGUGCCUAAUACAUGCAAGUCGAGCGAACAGACGAGGAGCUUGCUCCUCUGACGUUAGCGGCGGACGGGUGAGUAACACGUGGAUAACCUACCUAUAAGACUGGGAUAACUUCGGGAAACCGGAGCUAAUACCGGAUAACAUGUUGAACCGCAUGGUUCAACAGUGAAAGACGGUCUUGCUGUCACUUAUAGAUGGAUCCGCGCCGCAUUAGCUAGUUGGUAAGGUAACGGCUUACCAAGGCAACGAUGCGUAGCCGACCUGAGAGGGGGAAUGGCCCACACUGAAACGAGGCCACGGCCAGACCCCUACGGGAGGCAGCAGGAGGGAAUCUUCCGCAAUGGGCGAAAGCCUGACGGAGCAACGCCGCGUGAGUGAAGAAGGUCUUCGGAUCGUAAAACUCUGUUAUUAGGGAAGAACAAAUGUGUAAGUAACUAUGCACAUCUUGACGGUACCUAAUCAGAAAGCCACGGCUAACUACGUG
This 497-nucleotide ribosomal RNA is filed under the name uncultured bacterium. Its description in RNAcentral is "partial 16S ribosomal RNA". It matches the Rfam family "Bacterial small subunit ribosomal RNA", at positions 28 to 507 of the family's 1533-position model. The record is from RNAcentral.